ACUUGGGUAUAAUGGAUUCAUUAGUGAGCUAUUCCGUAAAGGGGAAUGUGGUGAUAGCUGAAGUUGAAGUGUAUCUUUGGCGACCACUUAAGGGAGGUAUAGGGAUUCCUGACGCAGUAAAGAAGAAGUAUGGAUAAGAUAUGCAAUAAAUGUUUUGUCAUUAAUCAUAAUCUUAAUGAUUGUGAAGCGAAUGCUUAUAAAGUCAUGAUUUACGAAAUUAACAUUGUUUAAUAUAAUGAGUAUCUUCAAGCUUAAGAUUUUGGUGAACUUGAAGACGGGGAUAACAUUGAUGAGAAUGAGUUGUUGUUGAAGGGGAAGAAAAUAGUCAUAAUGGGUUUAAGUCUACCAAACAAGGUAUUCUUGCUAGCUAUUAUGGAUAAUAGGCUCAGUCAAACCUAGAAAAAGAUACAAGGAGAAACAAGAUGAGAAGAAAGGAUAGUGAAAUCAGAUGUCGCGCGUCUUCUCAUCCUUUAUCCACUAUAGCCAAUAUUCAAGACCCUAAUCACCAAAUCACUGAUCAAUCAACCUUGAUAGCGGAAACUCAUGCUUCUGAGUAUCUCAACAUGUCUACAUCUACAGCCACCAUCUUGAGUAAAGUAAAGGAUGCACAGGUAAUACUGAAAUGGAGGAAAAAAUUAUGAUAGAUAGGAAGAUUGAAUCAUCACUGAGGAAGCGAGGAAGCACUGGAAUCAGGUAACUUGAAGACUGGAGGUUGAAGUCUAGAAGAUUUCUUUUUGUUAUUCUGAUAUUUGUGAUAACUUUUGAUUAACUGGGAUUCGACAAGAUUGUUUAUCUCGUACAGACUUUUUAAGCUUGUUGUAUAAAUCAACAAUCCUUGUGUGUAUCUCUUUGAGAUCUACUUUAAUAGUUCGUGAACUAAGAUAGAUUAUUUAGGUAAUCUUGAUCUUAGUUGAUCUUACCGAUACGAACGAGCUUAUAUUGAUUAACUUUUAUACUCAA
Long non-coding RNA from Papaver somniferum (opium poppy), 960 nucleotides. RefSeq lists it as uncharacterized. The transcript has 2 exons. Lineage: Eukaryota; Viridiplantae; Streptophyta; Magnoliopsida; Ranunculales; Papaveraceae. The record is from RefSeq and is a predicted model, not a curated record.